UUUAAGAGGGUUUGUAAACCUAGUUAAUGUUAAGAUUUGAUCAUCAACUAUAAAUGUAUUCUAAACAAAUUGUUUAAGCUCAUAACUAACACCCCUUUUUCAGUUUUGGUCAUAGACUAAACAAAUUUUACCAAAUUUGUGGCUGCUAGCUUCAAGCUUCAAUUUAGUAUCAGUAAGGGCAGCAUAUGCAAAAAGCUCACGGGGCAGAAAUCAGAGCUAGGAAACAGUUGGUUUUAAGCCUUCUUCUCAAUUUCUACAAGAAGUAGACUCGAGUCAUUCUAUUUGAAGCUUUCAAUACUUACUCAACGGUUCAUGAUACAAUCAUGUAAUUGUCCUUGUUGGACCCAUAACGGGCCAGCAACUGCUUUCACAAGCAAACAUAUGUGACACCAACAUUAGACUUGCACAAGCAAACAAUUCAGCCAAGUAGCACCAUGUACUGUCACUCCAUAGAACCAUAUUGAUAAACAUAGAGAAAACAUAGUGAUUGAACUUUUAGCUUUUUGCAUUGAUCUAGUGCCAAAAAUUUAACUUCAGCAUCUUCUCCAUAAUACUUGCAAGCUCUUUUUUACUAUAUUUAAAUAAAACUUUAUAAGAGGCUGGGGAUAGGGAUGGCAAUUUGACCCAUACCCAGAGGGUACCCGCAAAAAUUACCCACAACGGGUAGGGUAAAAACCCGCAUUUUGGGUACGGGCACGGGUAUGGGUAAUUACCCGCAAAAAUGAACGGGUGUGGGUGCGGGUAUGGGUACCUUAGUACCCAACCCGCCCCAUACCCGCAUAAUAUAUAUUUAUUUAUUUUAUUUAUAUUAUUAUAUUAUAAUAUAUGUAAAUCAAUUUAAAACANNNNNNNNNNNNNNNNNNNNNNNNNNNNNNNNNNNNNUUUAUAAUUUUCAUUAGUCAAUAUUAAAAUCUUUGAAAUUUUUUUAAUUCUAUUAAAAUUAUAUGAUAUUUUAUAAUUGAUCAAUUUAAUUUUUGUAAAAAUGCGGGUAACGGAUACGGGUAUGGGUACCUAGGUACCCAUAGGGUAUGGGGACGGGGGCAAAAGUUGUUACCCACGCGGGUAUAGGGAUGGGUACGGGUAUUUUUUCAAUCCGCGGGUAUGGGGAUGGGUACUAUAGUACCCUACCCAUACCCUACCCAUUGCCAUCCCUAGCUGGGGACAUCAAAUUAUGUCUUCACAAUUAUACAAGCAACACUACAAUUACAAAUGAAUGCAUCAGUGCACCCCGAAGAAUCAAAGGCUUCUCUGCACUCCCUUCAUUCAAUGAUUCAAUACCAUCCAUCCAAAUAAAGAAUGAUUAAAAAGUUUACACUACAAUAGGUCCAGGGUCAAUGAUCGAUGGCACAAAGAUACCAUCUCAAAAUUCACAUAACGAACAUUAUUUGGUCGUAAGGGUCAUCGAGUCGACAUUUAGUGGUUCAGUUAUAUGUUUUGAAUAAAGUAUUCACACAUUACAAUAUCAUCUAGUUUAAUGGCUCAAACAUAUCAUCCCAUAGUUUUCAGACCCAAUAUCUAUUGAAUUUUAGGGUCACGAGACAACAUUUAACUAUCCUUGAAUUUACAUAGCCAAUAACAAUUAGACUUAAGGGACACUGACGCUGCAUUAUGAAUAAAGAAUUCAGAUUCCAAUAUCAUCUGAUUCUAGGGGGUCAUUAAUGGCCUAAAGAUGCCAUUUCAAAUUAUGUGUGAAUAUACAUAAUGAAUAUCAAUUGUAUUUAAGGGUCAUUUGAGGCCACAUGUGCACAUAUUUUGAUAAAUUCACAUAUUAUAAUAGCGUAUAGGUCCAAGGCCAUCAAUGGCUCAAAACUAUCAUCCAACAAUUUGUAAAGUCAAUAGCGCUACUGAACUUAGGAUCAUCAAGACAACAGUUAACCGUAUAAUUGGACUUAAGGGUAUCAAUGCAAAAUUUAACCAUCUCAUGAUUUAAGGGUCUCCGAUGCAACAUUUAACAUCUCAGAAUUUAAAGGACAUCGAGACAAUAUUUAACCAUCUCAGAAUUUAUAUAGCCAACAAAAAUUGAAAUUAAGGGUCAUCGAGGAAACAUUUAACCAUCUCAAAAUUUAAGGUUCAUCCAGGAAACAUAUAACCAUCUCAUAGUUUAUAUAACCAAUAACAAUUGUACGUAGGGUCAUCAAUACAAUAUUUAAUCAUCACAGAAUUUAAGGGUCAUUGAAGCAAAAGUUAAUCACGUCAGAAUUUAUAUAGCUCAAUAGAAAUUGGACUAAAAAAGCAAUAUUUAACCAUCUCAGAAUUUAAGGAUCAUCAAUGCAACAUAUAAUCAUCUCAUAAAUUAUAUAGCCAAACAUUGGAUUUUAGGGUCAUCGAGACAAUACUUAUCAAUGUCAUUCGUCGUCAAUUCCGUUUAUCAAAUUUCAAACCACAUAAUCCAAAUAUCAAAUUUUGUAUCCAAUGUCAUUCUCCGUCAACUCAGUUAAUCAAAUUUUUUGGACCACAUAAUCCAUCUCCGUCAAUUCAGUAUAUCAAAUUUAGGACUACAUGAUCCAAAUAUCAAAUUCCGUAUCCAAUAUCAUUCGCCGUCAAUUCCACUUAUUAAAUUUCCAAAACCACAUAAUUCAAAUAUCAAAUUUAUAUCCAAUGUCAUUCUCCGUCAAUUCAGUUAAUCAAAUUUUUUGGACCACAUAAUCCAUCUCCGUCAAUUCCACUUAUCAAAUUUCCAACCACAUAAUUCAAAUAUCAAAUUUCAUAUCCAAUGUCAUUCUCCGUCAAUUCAGUUUAUCAAAUUUAGGACCAUAGAAUCUAUCUCCGUUAAUUCAGUUUCUCAAAUUUAGACCACAAUUCAAAUAUCAAAUUUUGUAUCCAAUCUCAUUCGAGCACAAUAUCAUCAUCCUUCCAAUUUAUCAAAUAUUGACCCAUAUAGGCUCAAAUAUCAACGAGACACAAUACAAUCACUCUAAUUUAUCGAAUUAAAAGCAUGUAGGAUUAAAUGUCAAAUUUCGCAUCCACUAUUAUUUAUCUCAAUUUGUCGAUAUAGAUAAAUGAGUUUCUAUUGUCAUUCCAUUAAGGGUCGUCAUAAUAACAUGCAUAUUAUGUUAUAAAUAUGAGAUGACUGCAGAUUUCUUUUACUCAAACUACAUCUCUCUUAUUUGAAUUUCGCAUCCGAAGGAGUAUAUCAAACAACCAAAAUAGGGAGUGUUGAACAAUUUAUUAAAUAAAUCAAAUUCAUACGAGCAUCAUUCCAAGACUCGGUACCGUCAAUUCAGUUUAUCAAAUUUAAAAGCAAACAAUGACAUUAGAGAAACAGAGAGUUCACACAAAACUAAAGCUAUAAUGAAUCAAAAAUGGAAAAGCAGAGAAAUUAGCCAAAAUCAAAUUCAGAAUAGUUACAAAGGUUACCUUGAGAGACUGCGGAUUAGUUGAAUGUGGAAUCAAGAAAUUGUCUAUUUCUUUUGAUCCUAUUUUUCUGCACGAAUUCAAAUCACAUUUCUAGGGUUUGAAGAUUCUUCAAUAACAUCGACGCCAAACAAGAAUCGAGAUGGAGAGAAAGAAAACGAAGGGCUUCCCGAAUUCAUCAUCGUCGUAGUACAAUAAAUGGAAGGUUGUGGAUUUGAGAAGAUCGGACGGUGGAGAAGGACUAGGGUUUGGAAUGGGAACGGUGGAGAAGGAUUGGGAUGGCGGUGAUCGGAGAGAAUUUCUAUUUCUAUUCUGUUU
This 3672-nucleotide long non-coding RNA is filed under the name Trifolium pratense (red clover). RNAcentral's name for it is "long non-coding RNA (TPRA_LNC003027)". Lineage: Eukaryota; Viridiplantae; Streptophyta; Magnoliopsida; Fabales; Fabaceae. The record is from RNAcentral.